UCGCCUGUUUAUCAAAAACAUGUCCUUAUGAUUAUAAUUUAAGGUCUGACCUGCCCACUGAAGUGAAUUUAAAGGGCCGCGGUAUUUUGACCGUGCAAAGGUAGCAUAAUCAUUAGUCUUUUAAUUGGAGGCUGGAAUGAAUGGUUGGACGAGGUAUUGACUGUCUCAUUGUAAAUGGUAUUAGAAUUUAACUUUUGAGUCAAAAGGCUUAAAUUUUUUUAAGGGACGAGAAGACCCUAUAGAGCUUUAUAAUUAAUUAGUUAUAAUUUAUUUAGUUGAAUUUAUGUUAUAAUUUGUCAAUUAUUUUGUUGGGGUGACAGGAAGAUAAAUAAAACUCUUUUUAAAUUUUUGUUCAUUGAUUUAUGAUUUGUUGAUCCAUUAUUAAUGAUUAAAAGACUAAGUUACCUUAGGGAUAACAGCGUAAUCUUUUUUGAGAGUUCUUAUCGACAAAAAGGGUUGCGACCUCGAUGUUGGAUUAAGGGUAAUUUUGGGUGUAGAUGUUCAAAGUUUAGGUCUGUUCGACCUUUAGAUCCUUACAUGAUCUGAGUUCAAACCGGAGA
Molecule: ribosomal RNA, 560 nt
Filed under: Utaperla sopladora
Lineage: Eukaryota; Metazoa; Arthropoda; Insecta; Plecoptera; Chloroperlidae
Description: partial 16S ribosomal RNA
Rfam family: Bacterial large subunit ribosomal RNA
Source: RNAcentral